Salmo salar (Atlantic salmon) is the source of this 54-nucleotide non-coding RNA. The record is from Rfam. Lineage: Eukaryota; Metazoa; Chordata; Actinopteri; Salmoniformes; Salmonidae.
UGUAUUCGCAACUGUAAGUCGCUCUGGAUAAGAGUGUCUGCUAAAUUACUAAAA